GACGAACGCUGGCGGCGUGCCUAAUACAUGCAAGUAGAACGCUGAAGGAGGAGCUUGCUUCUCCGGAUGAGUUGCGAACGGGUGAGUAACGCGUAGGUAACCUGCCUGGUAGCGGGGGAUAACUAUUGGAAACGAUAGCUAAUACCGCAUAAGAGUAGAUGUCGCAUGACAUUUGCUUAAAAGGUGCAACUGCACCACUACCAGAUGGACCUGCGUUGUAUUAGCUAGUUAGUGAGGUAACGGCUCACCAAGGCAACGAUACAUAGCCGACCUGAGAGGGUGAUCGGCCACACUGGGACUGAGACACGGCCCAGACUCCUACGGGAGGCAGCAGUAGGGAAUCUUCGGCAAUGGACGGAAGUCUGACCGAGCAACGCCGCGUGAGUGAAGAAGGUUUUCGGAUCGUAAAGCUCUGUUGUAAGAGAAGAACGAGUGUGAGAGUGGAAAGUUCACACUGUGACGGUAUCUGACCAGAAAGGGACGGCUAACUACGUG
This 495-nucleotide ribosomal RNA is filed under the name uncultured bacterium. Its description in RNAcentral is "partial 16S ribosomal RNA". It matches the Rfam family "Bacterial small subunit ribosomal RNA", at positions 28 to 507 of the family's 1533-position model. The record is from RNAcentral.